UUUGGCCAGGCAGGGCCAGGCUGGGACAUCCCUCCAGCAGUAACUCCAGGGAUGUCAAAAGGACUUCACUAGCCCUUGCCAUGCAAAUGGGGUCCCUCCACUGGAAUGUGAUUCUUCCCUACAGUGAGCUCACCGGCCAGGCUGCCUGCAUCCCACACCUUACAGUACCUGCCAGCGAUCGCUAGACACUGUGAGGGACGUCCGUGAGUAUCAAGCCAGGCAGACGUGCCUGGACGGUGUCUCUGCCACACUGCCCCACGCCCUGGUUAGAGAAGCCCUGGGAAGUUCCCCUGGGGCACUGCCUCGAGCAGAGGGUGACAAAGCUGGGACCUUCCUGGAGGCAGACAGCUCUGCUGGAGCUGGACGGAUGCUACAGCCCAAACCGUCGUCCUGCCAUGGCCAAGUGAGCACUGGAGGGAUGGAGGCAGCCUUCUCCCCGGCACCCCCAUUCAUC
Molecule: long non-coding RNA, 454 nt
Filed under: Fukomys damarensis (Damara mole-rat)
Lineage: Eukaryota; Metazoa; Chordata; Mammalia; Rodentia; Bathyergidae
Description: lncRNA (ENSFDAG00000031182.1)
Source: RNAcentral